Molecule: ribosomal RNA, 484 nt
Filed under: uncultured bacterium
Lineage: Bacteria
Description: partial 16S ribosomal RNA
Rfam family: Bacterial small subunit ribosomal RNA
Source: RNAcentral
AUUGAACGCUGGCGGCAGGCCUAACACAUGCAAGUCGAGCGGAUGAAGGGAGCUUGCUCCUGGAUUCAGCGGCGGACGGGUGAGUAAUGCCUAGGAAUCUGCCUGGUAGUGGGGGAUAACGUCCGGAAACGGGCGCUAAUACCGCAUACGUCCUGAGGGAGAAAGUGGGGGGUCUUCGGACCUCACGCUAUCAGAUGAGCCUAGGUCGGAUUAGCUAGUUUGUGGGGUAAAGGCCUACCAAGGCGACGAUUCGUUACUGGUCUGAGAGGAUGAUAAGUCACACUGGAACUGAACCACGGUCCCUGCUCCUACGGGAGGCACCAGUGGGGAAUAUUGGACAAUGGGCGAAAGCCUUAUCCAACCAUGCCGCGUGUGUGAAGAAGGUCUUCGGAUUGUAAAGCACUUUAAGUUGUGAGGAAGGGCAGUAAGUUAAUACCUUGCUGUUUUGACGUUACCAACAGAAUAAGCACCGGCUAACUUCGUG